Molecule: long non-coding RNA, 162 nt
Filed under: Castor canadensis (American beaver)
Lineage: Eukaryota; Metazoa; Chordata; Mammalia; Rodentia; Castoridae
Description: lncRNA (ENSCCNG00000029874.1)
Source: RNAcentral
UCACCUCCAUCCUUAGUGAAGUCUGGGUGGCCGUCUCAGCAGACAAAGCUGCUGAGCUGCCUGCCGACAGGUGACCAACCAAGCGAUUGGAUACUCCCAAGUGUGUGAAGCUCUGUGGUUAGUUACCUUGUGGCUGUGUCACCAUUGAGGAUGACGUGGACC